CGCCCUUAGAGUUUGAUCCUGGCUGAGGAUGAACGCUAGCGGCAGGCUUAACACAUGCAAGUCGAGGGGUAUAGGUUUUCGGAUCUAGAGACCGGCGCACGGGUGCGUAACGCGUAUGCAAUCUACCUUUCACAGAGGGAUAGCCCAGAGAAAUUUGGAUUAAUACCUCAUAGUAUAAUGACUCGGCAUCGAGACAUUAUUAAAGUCACAACGGUGAAAGAUGAGCAUGCGUCCCAUUAGCUAGUUGGUAAGGUAACGGCUUACCAAGGCUACGAUGGGUAGGGGUCCUGAGAGGGAGAUCCCCCACACUGGUACUGAGACACGGACCAGACUCCUACGGGAGGCAGCAGUGAGGAAUAUUGGACAAUGGAGGCAACUCUGAUCCAGCCAUGCCGCGUGCAGGACGACGGCCCUAUGGGUUGUAAACUGCUUUUAUACAGGAAGAAACACCUCUACGUGUAGAGACUUGACGGUACUGUAAGAAUAAGGAUCGGCUAACUCCGUGCCAGCAGCCGCGGUAAUACGGAGGAUCCAAGCGUUAUCCGGAAUCAUUGGGUUUAAAGGGUCCGUAGGUGGAUGAUUAAGUCAGGGGUGAAAGUCUGCAGCUCAACUGUAGAAUUGCCCUUGAUACUGGUUAUCUUGAAUCAUUAUGAAGUGGUUAGAAUAUGUAGUGUAGCGGUGAAAUGCAUAGAUAUUACAUAGAAUACCAAUUGCGAAGGCAGAUCACUAAUAAUGUAUUGACACUGAUGGACGAAAGCGUAGGUAGCGAACAGGAUUAGAUACCCUGGUAGUCUACGCCGUAAACGAUGGAUACUAGCUGUUCGACUUCGGUUGAGUGGCUAAGCGAAAGUGAUAAGUAUCCCACCUGGGGAGUACGUUCGCAAGAAUGAAACUCAAAGGAAUUGACGGGGGCCCGCACAAGCGGUGGAGCAUGUGGUUUAAUUCGAUGAUACGCGAGGAACCUUACCAGGGCUUAAAUGUAGAUUGACAGGUUUAGAGAUAGACUUUUCUUCGGACAAUUUACAAGGUGCUGCAUGGUUGUCGUCAGCUCGUGCCGUGAGGUGUCAGGUUAAGUCCUAUAACGAGCGCAACCCCUGUUCUUAGUUGCCAGCGCGUAAUGGCGGGGACUCUAGGAAGACUGCCGGUGCCAAACCGGAGGAAGGUGGGGACGACGUCAAGUCAUCAUGGUCCUUACGUCUAGGGCUACACACGUGCUACAAUGGGCGGGACAGCGGGGGCCGAGGCAGCAAUGCUCAGGCAAUCCCAAAACCCGUCCUCAGUUCGGAUUGU
RNAcentral lists this ribosomal RNA (1290 nucleotides) under uncultured Algibacter sp. RNAcentral's name for it is "bacterial SSU rRNA". It matches the Rfam family "Bacterial small subunit ribosomal RNA", at positions 1 to 1301 of the family's 1533-position model. Lineage: Bacteria; Pseudomonadati; Bacteroidota; Flavobacteriia; Flavobacteriales; Flavobacteriaceae. The record is from RNAcentral.